ACAAGUUUCUACUGCAUAGCACAAGUAACUAUAUUCAAUAUCUUGUAAUAACUUAUAAUGAAAAAGAAUCUGAAAAAGAAUAUAUACACACAUAUGUGUGUAUAUUAUAACUGAAUCAUUCUGCUAUACACUUGAAGCUAACACAAAACUGUAAAUCAACUAUACUUCAGUUAAAACUUUUUAAAAAAAGAACAAAGAUCUG
This is a non-coding RNA of Vicugna pacos (alpaca), 202 nucleotides long. NCBI's taxonomy places the organism in Eukaryota, Metazoa, Chordata, Mammalia, Artiodactyla, Camelidae. The record is from RefSeq and is a predicted model, not a curated record.